Molecule: ribosomal RNA, 403 nt
Filed under: Proasellus dianae
Lineage: Eukaryota; Metazoa; Arthropoda; Malacostraca; Isopoda; Asellidae
Description: partial 16S ribosomal RNA
Rfam family: Bacterial large subunit ribosomal RNA
Source: RNAcentral
AAGGUAGCAUAAUCAUUUGUCUUUUAAUUAGAGGCUGGAAUGAAUGAGGCGACGAAAUUUAUACUUUUAAAUUAUACAAUGAAAUUAACAUAAAGGUUAAAAGGCUUUUAUUGACCAAAGGGACGAUAAGACCCUAUAAAACUUUACUAUUAAAUAGGUUAUUUAGGUAAACUGUAAUAUAAUAGUUUAACUGGGGUGGUUUAUAUAAAAACAAUAGAAAUUUAAAUAUUUUUAAUAGGGUUAGAGAACUUUAAUAAGAAAUGAACAAGUUACUUUAGGGAUAACAGCAUAAUUUUCUCAGAGAGUCCUAAUUGGCGAGAAAGUUUAUGACCUCGAUGUUGAAUUGGGGUUUCUGGUAUAAGUAGAAAUAUAUUAAGAUAGUCUGUUCGACUAUUAAACCCCC